This 411-nucleotide ribosomal RNA is filed under the name uncultured bacterium. Its description in RNAcentral is "bacterial SSU rRNA". It matches the Rfam family "Bacterial small subunit ribosomal RNA", at positions 354 to 777 of the family's 1533-position model. The record is from RNAcentral.
GUGGGGAAUAUUGCACAAUGGGCGCAAGCCUGAUGCAGCGACGCCGCGUGAGGGAUGACGGCCUUCGGGUUGUAAACCUCUUUCAAUAGGGACGAAGCGCAAGUGACGGUACCUAUAGAAGAAGCACCGGCCAACUACGUGCCAGCAGCCGCGGUAAUACGUAGGGUGCGAGCGUUGUCCGGAAUUACUGGGCGUAAAGAGCUCGUAGGUGGUUUGUCGCGUUGUUCGUGAAAACUCACAGCUUAACUGUGGGCGUGCGGGCGAUACGGGCAGACUAGAGUACUGCAGGGGAGACUGGAAUUCCUGGUGUAGCGGUGGAAUGCGCAGAUAUCAGGAGGAACACCGGUGGCGAAGGCGGGUCUCUGGGCAGUAACUGACGCUGAGGAGCGAAAGCGUGGGGAGCGAACAGGA